AAUCAACGCUGGCGGCGUGCCUCAGACAUGCAAGUCGGACGAUUAAACUUUCCUUCGGGAAAGAUAUAAAGUGGCGCACGGGUGAGUAACACGUAGGUAAUGUACCUUUGGGUGGGGAAUAACCAUCGGAAACGAUGGCUAAUACCGCAUAAUGCAGCGGCAUCGCAAGAUGACAGUUGUUAAAGAUUUAUCGCCUAAAGAGCAGCCUGCGGCAGAUUAGGUAGNGGUAAGGUAAUGGCUUACCAAGCCUGCGAUCUGUAACCGA
RNAcentral lists this ribosomal RNA (265 nucleotides) under uncultured bacterium. Its description in RNAcentral is "partial 16S ribosomal RNA". It matches the Rfam family "Bacterial small subunit ribosomal RNA", at positions 32 to 290 of the family's 1533-position model. The record is from RNAcentral.